This 1730-nucleotide ribosomal RNA is filed under the name Escherichia coli. RNAcentral's name for it is "partial 23S ribosomal RNA". It matches the Rfam family "Bacterial large subunit ribosomal RNA", at positions 1 to 1765 of the family's 2925-position model. Lineage: Bacteria; Pseudomonadati; Pseudomonadota; Gammaproteobacteria; Enterobacterales; Enterobacteriaceae. The record is from RNAcentral.
GGGUUGUGAGGUUAAGCGACUAAGCGUACACGGUGGAUGCCCUGGCAGUCAGAGGCGAUGAAGGACGUGCUAAUCUGCGAUAAGCGUCGGUAAGGUGAUAUGAACCGUUAUAACCGGCGAUUUCCGAAUGGGGAAACCCAGUGUGUUUCGACACACUAUCAUUAACUGAAUCCAUAGGUUAAUGAGGCGAACCGGGGGAACUGAAACAUCUAAGUACCCCGAGGAAAAGAAAUCAACCGAGAUUCCCCCAGUAGCGGCGAGCGAACGGGGAGCAGCCCAGAGCCUGAAUCAGUGUGUGUGUUAGUGGAAGCGUCUGGAAAGGCGCGCGAUACAGGGUGACAGCCCCGUACACAAAAAUGCACAUGCUGUGAGCUCGAUGAGUAGGGCGGGACACGUGGUAUCCUGUCUGAAUAUGGGGGGACCAUCCUCCAAGGCUAAAUACUCCUGACUGACCGAUAGUGAACCAGUACCGUGAGGGAAAGGCGAAAAGAACCCCGGCGAGGGGAGUGAAAAAGAACCUGAAACCGUGUACGUACAAGCAGUGGGAGCACGCUUAGGCGUGUGACUGCGUACCUUUUGUAUAAUGGGUCAGCGACUUAUAUUCUGUAGCAAGGUUAACCGAAUAGGGGAGCCGAAGGGAAACCGAGUCUUAACUGGGCGUUAAGUUGCAGGGUAUAGACCCGAAACCCGGUGAUCUAGCCAUGGGCAGGUUGAAGGUUGGGUAACACUAACUGGAGGACCGAACCGACUAAUGUUGAAAAAUUAGCGGAUGACUUGUGGCUGGGGGUGAAAGGCCAAUCAAACCGGGAGAUAGCUGGUUCUCCCCGAAAGCUAUUUAGGUAGCGCCUCGUGAAUUCAUCUCCGGGGGUAGAGCACUGUUUCGGCAAGGGGGUCAUCCCGACUUACCAACCCGAUGCAAACUGCGAAUACCGGAGAAUGUUAUCACGGGAGACACACGGCGGGUGCUAACGUCCGUCGUGAAGAGGGAAACAACCCAGACCGCCAGCUAAGGUCCCAAAGUCAUGGUUAAGUGGGAAACGAUGUGGGAAGGCCCAGACAGCCAGGAUGUUGGCUUAGAAGCAGCCAUCAUUUAAAGAAAGCGUAAUAGCUCACUGGUCGAGUCGGCCUGCGCGGAAGAUGUAACGGGGCUAAACCAUGCACCGAAGCUGCGGCAGCGACACUAUGUGUUGUUGGGUAGGGGAGCGUUCUGUAAGCCUGUGAAGGUGUACUGUGAGGUAUGCUGGAGGUAUCAGAAGUGCGAAUGCUGACAUAAGUAACGAUAAAGCGGGUGAAAAGCCCGCUCGCCGGAAGACCAAGGGUUCCUGUCCAACGUUAAUCGGGGCAGGGUGAGUCGACCCCUAAGGCGAGGCCGAAAGGCGUAGUCGAUGGGAAACAGGUUAAUAUUCCUGUACUUGGUGUUACUGCGAAGGGGGGACGGAGAAGGCUAUGUUGGCCGGGCGACGGUUGUCCCGGUUUAAGCGUGUAGGCUGGUUUUCCAGGCAAAUCCGGAAAAUCAAGGCUGAGGCGUGAUGACGAGGCACUACGGUGCUGAAGCAACAAAUGCCCUGCUUCCAGGAAAAGCCUCUAAGCAUCAGGUAACAUCAAAUCGUACCCCAAACCGACACAGGUGGUCAGGUAGAGAAUACCAAGGCGCUUGAGAGAACUCGGGUGAAGGAACUAGGCAAAAUGGUGCCGUAACUUCGGGAGAAGGCACGCUGAUAUGUAGGUGA